This 440-nucleotide ribosomal RNA is filed under the name uncultured bacterium. RNAcentral's name for it is "partial 16S ribosomal RNA". It matches the Rfam family "Bacterial small subunit ribosomal RNA", at positions 338 to 795 of the family's 1533-position model. The record is from RNAcentral.
CCUACGGGAGGCAGCAGUGGGGAAUAUUGCACAAUGGGGGAAACUCUGAUGCAGCGACGCCGCGUGAGUGAAGAAGUAUUUCGGUAUGUAAAGCUCUGUCAGUAGGGAAGUAAAUGACUGUACCUGACCAAGAAGCCCCGUCUAACUACGUGCCAGCAGCCGCGGUAAUCCGUAGGGGGCAAGCGUUAUCCGGAUUUACUGGGUGUAAAGGGAGCGUAGACGGCAGGGCAAGUCUGGAGUGAAAGGCGGGGGCUCAACCCCCGGACUGCUCUGGAAACUGCCAGGCUGGAGUGCAGGAGAGGUAAGUGGAAUUCCUAGUGUAGCGGUGAAAUGCGUAGAUAUUAGGAGGAACACCAGUGGCGAAGGCGGCUUACUGGACUGUAACUGACGGUGAGGCUCGAAAGCGUGGGGAGCAAACAGGAUUAGAUACCCCAGUAGUC